GCCGGGGUGGCGAAAUGGUAGCCGCAAGAGACUUAAAAUCUCUCGAUAGCAAUAUCGUGCGGGUUCGAUUCCCGCCCCCGGCA
RNAcentral lists this transfer RNA (83 nucleotides) under Candidatus Collierbacteria bacterium RIFOXYD1_FULL_40_9. RNAcentral describes it as "tRNA-Leu". It matches the Rfam family "tRNA". From Rfam's summary of the family: Transfer RNA (tRNA) molecules are approximately 80 nucleotides in length. RNAcentral also lists the same sequence under 1 other name. The record is from RNAcentral. Lineage: Bacteria; Candidatus Collieribacteriota.